This 406-nucleotide ribosomal RNA is filed under the name uncultured bacterium. Its description in RNAcentral is "partial 16S ribosomal RNA". It matches the Rfam family "Bacterial small subunit ribosomal RNA", at positions 30 to 526 of the family's 1533-position model. The record is from RNAcentral.
AUUGAACGCUGGCGGCAGGCCUAACACAUGCAAGUCGAACGAGUGGCGGACGGGUGAGUAAUGUUUGGGAAUCUGGCUUAUGGAGGGGGAUAACGACGGGAAACUGUCGCUAAUACCGCGUACCAUAAGAUGAGCCCAAGUGGGAUUAGGUAGUUGGUGGGGUAAAGGCCCACCAAGGCGAAGAUCUCUAGCUGGUCUGAGAGGAUGACCAGCCACACCGGGACUGAGACACGGUCCGGACGCCUACGGGAGGCAGCAGUGGGGAAUAUUGCACAAUGGGCGCAAGCCUGACGCAGCCAUGCCGCGUGAAUGAAGAAGGCCUUCGGGUUGUAAAGUUCUUCCGGUGAGGAGGCGUUAAUCACAGAAGAAGCACCGGCUAACUCCGUGCCAGCAGCCGCGGUAAUUC